Haliotis rubra (blacklip abalone) is the source of this 224-nucleotide long non-coding RNA. RefSeq lists it as uncharacterized. The record is from RefSeq and is a predicted model, not a curated record. NCBI's taxonomy places the organism in Eukaryota, Metazoa, Mollusca, Gastropoda, Lepetellida, Haliotidae. The transcript is spliced from 3 exons.
AUAUGUCAUGAACAAAAACUUCUUGGAAUAUUCAAGAAAUAUUCCGUCAUGACUUUUCAGUUAGUGAAGUGAGUUUUCUAAGAAUUACACACGCUUUCAGGCCCUGACAACUUCGAAGAUAUAUUCCAUCGUUGAGUGUUUCAAAGACUUAAACAGUAGUUUCAAAAUCGUUUGUGUUCGAUUACGAGAAAAUGUGAUCAACUGCUUGGUCGUUUGGUCACUUC